CGGGGAGACCGCGUUUAGAGGAUCAGUGGCGGCGGCACCCGCGGCCCCGCGCGGCGCGGACGGCGGGCAGCACCGUGCCUGGGCCCCCUCCUGCUCCGUUGUAUCGUGACCUUCUGAACCUCAGUUGUCUUGCCUGUAAAAUGGAAACGAAGGGGAUGGUUAGCACUCCCACUGGAUCAAAUAAGCUGCACCUCAUACAUAAUGAGGGAACAGAGACCUGGAGAGAUACAGUCCUUGGCCACAGUCAGCCAAGUUGAAGCAUAGCUGGGGCUUUGAACCCAGUCUCCCAGCUCCCAAUCUGCCUGCAACCCUGUCCCUCUCCACCCCCCAGCCCUGACCAGAAUUCUCUUCUGUACAUCCAGAAGGGCUUUCCCAUUCCUCAGACUCUCUGAGGCAAUGACAGUCCGUACCACCCAUGCGGCCCUUAAUCAUUUACUGCCCUUGCAAACAGCCUGUGGUCAAAAGCAAUAAAAUUCGGACUUGGACAGAUCA
RNAcentral lists this non-coding RNA (492 nucleotides) under Pongo abelii (Sumatran orangutan). Lineage: Eukaryota; Metazoa; Chordata; Mammalia; Primates; Hominidae. The record is from RNAcentral.